CAGAAAAUAGUUUAUUUAAAAACAUCAGCUUUGGGAGCUGGAGAGAGAGGUUUAAUCCUUUUUUUCUGA
RNAcentral lists this transfer RNA (69 nucleotides) under Falcipennis falcipennis. Its description in RNAcentral is "tRNA-Pro". It matches the Rfam family "tRNA". From Rfam's summary of the family: Transfer RNA (tRNA) molecules are approximately 80 nucleotides in length. Their secondary structure includes four short double-helical elements and three loops (D, anti-codon, and T loops). The record is from RNAcentral. Lineage: Eukaryota; Metazoa; Chordata; Aves; Galliformes; Phasianidae.